RNAcentral lists this transfer RNA (90 nucleotides) under Fervidobacterium sp. RNAcentral's name for it is "tRNA-Ser". It matches the Rfam family "tRNA". From Rfam's summary of the family: Transfer RNA (tRNA) molecules are approximately 80 nucleotides in length. RNAcentral also lists the same sequence under 1 other name. Lineage: Bacteria; Thermotogati; Thermotogota; Thermotogae; Thermotogales; Fervidobacteriaceae. The record is from RNAcentral.
GGAGGUGUGUCCGAACUGGCUAAGGAGCCGGUCUUGAAAAUCGGUGGUGGUCAAACCACCGUGUGGGUUCGAAUCCCACCGCCUCCGCCA